Molecule: unclassified non-coding RNA, 163 nt
Filed under: uncultured Pseudocosmospora
Lineage: Eukaryota; Fungi; Ascomycota; Sordariomycetes; Hypocreales; Nectriaceae
Description: sequence contains ITS2
Source: RNAcentral
CAACCCUCAAGCCCCCGGGCUUGGUGUUGGAGAUCGGCCCGCCCCUGCGGCAGGCCGGCUCCGAAAUCCAGUGGCGGUCCCGCCGUAACUUCCUCUGCGUAGUAGCAAUAUCUCGCACCGGAAAGCGACGGAGCCUUGCCGUAAAACCCCCAACUUCUGAAGG